This 252-nucleotide ribosomal RNA is filed under the name uncultured bacterium. Its description in RNAcentral is "partial 16S ribosomal RNA". It matches the Rfam family "Bacterial small subunit ribosomal RNA", at positions 524 to 776 of the family's 1533-position model. The record is from RNAcentral.
UACGGAGGGGUUAGCGUUGUUCGGAAUUACUGGGCGUAGAGCGCGCGUAGGCGGAUUGGAAAGUUGGGGGUGAAAUCCCGGGGCUCAACCCCGGAACUGCCUCCAAAACUUCCAGUCUGGAGUUCGAGAGAGGUGAGUGGAAUUCCGAGUGUAGAGGUGAAAUUCGUAGAUAUUCGGAGGAACACCAGUGGCGAAGGCGGCUCACUGGCUCGAUACUGACGCUGAGGUGCGAAAGUGUGGGGAGCAAACAGG